Non-coding RNA from Paramuricea clavata, 142 nucleotides. Lineage: Eukaryota; Metazoa; Cnidaria; Anthozoa; Malacalcyonacea; Plexauridae. The record is from the annotation of a GenBank genome assembly.
GUAUUCCACUGGUCGCCCCAACAGCAUAUAUAUAUAUAUAUAUAUAUAUAUAUAUAUAUAUAUAUAUAUAUAUAUAUAUAUAUAUAUAUAUAUAUAUAUAUAUAUAUAUAUAUAUAUGCUGUUGGGGCGACCAGUGGAAUAC